AUACGGAGGGUGCAAGCGUUAUUCGGAAUCACUGGGCGUAAAGGACGCGUAGGCGGGUUGGCAAGUCAGAUGUGAAAUCCUACAGCUUAACUGUAGAGCUGCAUUUGAAACUGCUAACCUAGAGUAUGGGAGGGGGAGAUGGAAUUAGUGGUGUAGGGGUAAAAUCCGUAGAUAUCACUAGGAAUACCGAAAGCGAAGGCGAUCUCCUGGAACAUAACUGACGCUAAGGCGUGAAAGCGUGGGGAGCAAACAGGAUUAGAAACCCUAGUAGUCC
Molecule: ribosomal RNA, 274 nt
Filed under: uncultured bacterium
Lineage: Bacteria
Description: partial 16S ribosomal RNA
Rfam family: Bacterial small subunit ribosomal RNA
Source: RNAcentral